UCCGUAGCUGGCCGCGCAAGUCCAUCGGGAAAUCCACCUGCUCAACAGGUGGGCGCCCGGUAGAAACUGCGUGGCUUGGGACCGGAAGGCGCGACGGGUACGUCCGGGGUAGGAGUGAAAUCCCGUAAUCCUGGACGGACCGCCGAUGGCGAAAGCACGUCGCGAGAACGGAUCCGACAGUGAGGGACGAAAGCCAGGGUCUCGAACC
This 208-nucleotide ribosomal RNA is filed under the name uncultured archaeon. RNAcentral describes it as "partial 16S ribosomal RNA". It matches the Rfam family "Archaeal small subunit ribosomal RNA", at positions 518 to 725 of the family's 1478-position model. The record is from RNAcentral.